GAUGAACGCUGGCGGCGUGCCUAAUACAUGCAAGUCGAGCGAACAGACGAGGAGCUUGCUCCUCUGACGUUAGCGGCGGACGGGUGAGUAACACGUGGAUAACCUACCUAUGAGGCUGGGAUAACUUCGGGAAACCGGAACUAAUACCGGGUAAUAUAUUUAACCGCAGGGUUCAGUAGUGAAAGACGGUUUUGCCGUCGGUUGUGGAUGGAUCCGCGCCGCAUUAGCUAGUUGGUGAGGUAAUGGCUUACCGAGGCAUCGAUGGGUAGCCGGCCUGGGAGGGUGACCGGCCACAUUGGGACUGAGGGGAGGCCCAGGCUGCUACGGGAGGCAGCAGGGGGGAAUCUUGCAGAAUGGGUGGAAGGCUGGUGCAGAAACGCCGUGUGCGGAAUGACUGUCUUAGGGGUGAAAAACGCGUUCGCACAUGACGAAGCUUUGUGUGACGGUAGUGGGUAAAGAAGCACCGGCUAACUACGUG
This 478-nucleotide ribosomal RNA is filed under the name uncultured bacterium. Its description in RNAcentral is "partial 16S ribosomal RNA". It matches the Rfam family "Bacterial small subunit ribosomal RNA", at positions 28 to 507 of the family's 1533-position model. The record is from RNAcentral.